Vicia faba (fava bean) is the source of this 210-nucleotide non-coding RNA. Lineage: Eukaryota; Viridiplantae; Streptophyta; Magnoliopsida; Fabales; Fabaceae. The record is from the annotation of a GenBank genome assembly.
AUGGAAAUAUCAGGACCAAAGCGAAAAGAGGGAGAAGUGAGCAACUUACCUGCCAAAGAAGUUCCGGCGACUCUUCAACGGCGUCAGUGUUGUAAGAAAUUCAGAGGGAUGGAGCAACCAGAGAGAGAAUUAAGAUUCUUUGCAGAGAGAAAAGUGAAGAGUGGAAGUGAAGAAUUGGUGAAAAUGAAUCGUGUUAAUGGAAGAGGAUGA